Molecule: ribosomal RNA, 253 nt
Filed under: uncultured bacterium
Lineage: Bacteria
Description: partial 16S ribosomal RNA
Rfam family: Bacterial small subunit ribosomal RNA
Source: RNAcentral
UACGUAGGGGGCAAGCGUUGUCCGGAAUCAUUGGGCGUAAAGCGCGCGUAGGCGGCCCGGUAAGUCCGUUGUGAAAGUCGAAGGCUCAACCUUUGAACGCCGAUGGAUACUGCCGGGCUAGAGUCCGGAAGAGGCGAGUGGAAUUCCUGGUGUAGCGGUGGAAUGCGCAGAUAUCAGGAGGAACACCAAUAGCGAAGGCAGCUCGCUGGGACGGUACUGACGCUGAGGCGCGAAAGCCAGGGGAGCGAACGGG